Molecule: ribosomal RNA, 499 nt
Filed under: uncultured bacterium
Lineage: Bacteria
Description: bacterial SSU rRNA
Rfam family: Bacterial small subunit ribosomal RNA
Source: RNAcentral
ACGAACGCUGGCGGCGUGCCUAAUACAUGCAAGUCGAGCGGAAUGAUGAAGAAGCUUGCUUCUUCUGAUUUUAGCGGCGGACGGGUGAGUAACACGUGGGCAACCUACCUUGUAGAUUGGGAUAACUCCGGGAAUCCGGGGCUAAUACCGAAUAAUCCAUUUUGCUUCAUGGCGAGAUGUUGAAAGACGGUUUCGGCUGUCACUACAAGAUGGGCCCGCGGCGCAUUAGCUAGUUGGUAGGGUAAUGGCCUACCAAGGCGACGAUGCGUAGCCGACCUGAGAGGGUGAUCGGCCACACUGGGACUGAGACACGGCCCAGACUCCUACGGGAGGCAGCAGUAGGGAAUCUUCCACAAUGGACGAAAGUCUGAUGGAGCAACGCCGCGUGAGUGAAGAAGGUUUUCGGAUCGUAAAACUCUGUUGUAAGGGAAGAACACGUACGAGAGUAACUGCUCGUACCUUGACGGUACCUUAUUAGAAAGCCACGGCUAACUACGUG